Molecule: ribosomal RNA, 519 nt
Filed under: uncultured Bacillota bacterium
Lineage: Bacteria; Bacillati; Bacillota
Description: bacterial SSU rRNA
Rfam family: Bacterial small subunit ribosomal RNA
Source: RNAcentral
ACGGAGCAACGCCGCGUGAGCGAAGAAGGCCUUCGGGUCGUAAAGCUCUGUUGUUAGGGAAGAACAAGUAUCGGAGUAACUGCCGGUACCUUGACGGUACCUAACCAGAAAGCCACGGCUAACUACGUGCCAGCAGCCGCGGUAAUACGUAGGUGGCAAGCGUUGUCCGGAAUUAUUGGGCGUAAAGCGCGCGCAGGCGGUCCUUUAAGUCUGAUGUGAAAGCCCACGGCUCAACCGUGGAGGGUCAUUGGAAACUGGGGGACUUGAGUGCAGAAGAGGAGAGUGGAAUUCCACGUGUAGCGGUGAAAUGCGUAGAGAUGUGGAGGAACACCAGUGGCGAAGGCGACUCUCUGGUCUGUAACUGACGCUGAGGCGCGAAAGCGUGGGGAGCAAACAGGAUUAGAUACCCUGGUAGUCCACGCCCUAAACGAUGAUGACUAGUUGUUGGGGGAGUUAAAUCCCUUAGUAACGCAGCUAACGCGCGAAGUCAUCCGCCUGGGGAGUACGGUCGCAAGAUUA